UACGAAGGGGGCGAGCGUUGUUCGGAAUUACUGGGCGUAAAGGGCGCGCAGGCGGUAGGAGAAGUCAGGCGUGAAAGCCCCGGGCUCAACCUGGGAAUUGCGUUUGAUACUCUCCAACUGGAGUUCGGGAGAGGAGAGUGGAAUUCCCAGUAUAGAGGUGAAAUUCGUAGAUAUUGGGAAGAACACCGGUGGCGAAGGCGGCUCUCUGGACCGAGACUGACGCUGAGGCGCGAAAGCGUGGGGAGCAAACAGG
This 253-nucleotide ribosomal RNA is filed under the name uncultured bacterium. RNAcentral describes it as "partial 16S ribosomal RNA". It matches the Rfam family "Bacterial small subunit ribosomal RNA", at positions 524 to 776 of the family's 1533-position model. The record is from RNAcentral.